Molecule: long non-coding RNA, 1810 nt
Organism: Gasterosteus aculeatus aculeatus (three-spined stickleback)
Lineage: Eukaryota; Metazoa; Chordata; Actinopteri; Perciformes; Gasterosteidae
Source: Ensembl
CAGGGGACCACAUACAGACCAUUAGCUGCCACCUGUAACUGAGAUGCAUUGUGUACACAGGAGCCCAACUGGGCCCGGAGUGACUCCUGCGUGAUUAACUUAGUCAUAUGUAUGUUAAUUAGACUGACUGUACAUACACUGCAGUGCCUAUAAAUACAUGUGCCGUGUUUUUUUCUAUUAUGCGUAUGAACAGUGAUUUAACUCUGAUUGGAUCAGUCACUGCAGCAUGCACUAAUAAUUAAUGUAUAGCCAUGUGUAGUGGAGCUGCUACAGAAUUUACAGGAUACGAACACACACACAGGAUAUGGCUCCUAUAUUACUGGCUGCACAGCGGAGUGUACAACAGCUCUUCUUACUGCUCAGCCAAAUAUAUCUUUUUCUUCCUACAUCCAGUGGCGUGGACUAUUUAUAUCCUCAUUCAAUAUACAUAAGCAAUUUUUUGUCAUAGUGGUACAUGAAUGAAUGAAUUAGGCCGGCCCUUCCAAAGUAGUCCGCCUAUGUUGUCAGGCACACCCAGAUAAAGGCUCUAGACAUUGUGCAUUUCCGUAAUGGCUGGGUCAAUGGAUAAAUAAGAAUGUGAUUCUGCCAGCCAUAAGCAGGUCAUGUGGGUCAACCACAAGUAGCUGUGGGUUUCGGCUGUUAUGGUGAAGGUGGAUGGGCGGGAUGUGGCCUCGAAUCCUUGUUUGCAAGAGUCUUCUGCGGGCCGCCCACCAAAAUGCAAUCUCCACUGUAUUUUUUAUCUGCUCUUUCGAUGUUGGAAUAUCCAAUUACCAAUACGCAGACCAGUGCAUUCUGGUAGUUUGAGUGGGUUAACAGAUUUUUUGCUACCUUGGUAAAGACAGAAGGCAGAGAGGAAACCGUUUGGAGCACUGUGAAAAACAGUUUUCCGUGUGUGAUGCAAGCUGGGAAUUUUAAUGUUCCAACAAUGCUUUUGCAGUUUUGAACUCAGAGGUUUUCAUAAUGUUACAAAUGAUUGAACUCAACACAGGGUGUAGGUAGCAAACAAUAUUGUUUACCACUGCUACCAUUCUAAUGUUCUUCUGCAAAACAUUGAAUUCUUUGCAGGAUUUGAGAGGCAAUAAACACUGAAUAAUGCUUUCUUUGUUUAUGUUCUUUUACAGGUUUUGGUAGCUUCCAUGGUGCAACAUACAGCUGUCUCAGUAACCAAAAGGAACCACUUCAGUCCCUGCAAUGGCUUGUGUUACAAAAUGGUCAUUUUAAAGAAGAAAUAAUGAAAACACGGACACACAAAGAAUCGAUGCCCAUGCGCAGUGGGCGACGGCGGGGGGCGAGUGAGGAAAGGAGGGGGAGACGCCCGCACACCAGCCCCACUCGCCCUGAACGCAACGAUAGACAGACGCAAAGAGCUGCUGGUGAGGAAUUGGCUGGAAAUCGCUUCAGUCGCAGAUCACAAGGGCGUGAUUCUUCAGAGAGUGAGGGGGAGGAACUUGUGUCUCCUCCUAAGAGGCAGAAAGUUCAGGAUUCGGCCUCUACCCCAAACCCACCAACAUCAACGGACAGCUCGGCUCCUUCCACUGUCCCACCUCCAACCUCAGUCGCCAGCCAAUCCCGCGAGAGUGACAAUGAAGAUGGCCAAUCCCAGGGCAGUAGAAGUUCAGUUGUAGGGAGCCUGGCCAAUAGUAGCAGCAGUCUGAGCAGUGGGCGGGAUAUAGACCAGGACAACCGCUCCUCGUCCCCAAGUCUCUCCGCUUCUCCUUUGGGUAGCUUGGACUCUGACUCCGAUGGAUCCGACUCACCAAAGCAAGGAGAGAGGGAAAGAGAGAAAGGCAAGGAGGGGGGGUUGGGGAAG